Phyllopteryx taeniolatus (common seadragon) is the source of this 904-nucleotide long non-coding RNA. RefSeq lists it as uncharacterized. The transcript is spliced from 4 exons. NCBI's taxonomy places the organism in Eukaryota, Metazoa, Chordata, Actinopteri, Syngnathiformes, Syngnathidae. The record is from RefSeq and is a predicted model, not a curated record.
CAGCCGUCACCCGGGAGCGCUUCAUCGAUCCUGACUGCUGUUUUCUUCUUAUUGACCAGCACGACAACGUCUGCAGCUGCCUGUCACUCACUCGUUGGGAACUUUUGAUUCCUCCAGAGCCUCUGCUACUAGUACCAGUCACAGUCAAAGCAGAAAAAAUGCCAGCAUCUACAGUAUGUUCCAAUCUGUCUGCCUGGAUCGAAAUAGGCCCAAUUGACUCUGAUUGACAUCGGGAGAAGAUUCCUUCCCGGCAGUGGAAGUAAGGCCACAUGAAUGUAUUGAAGGCGCUCCGGUGUGUUCUCGUCGCUUUGGGUAUUCCGACGUGUUUGCCUGGGAGUGCAAAGCGAAGGCGCUCUUUGCAUAAACUCCCUUUGAUUGACUGCCGAUGCAUCCUUCGGAGAUCACCGGAGCAAAUGGUUAAAGUGCAACCCACCCCCCAGAGACAUUAAAUAGGGUAACCCCACAACUAAGAUUUCCAUCUAAAGAAGACUUCUGGAUUAAAAGUGAAGCAUCUUCAGCUAUGAAGAAGAAUCCAGUUGCCUCCAUUCAACUUUUGCGGAUUACCAUGACGUGGAUGACUGAGCAUCCACCCAGACAUGUGUUAUCAUGUGUGGUGUACUCAAGACAACCAACACCACCACAUCACACUCUUAACCAUAUGUCCACCCACAAUCAAGGAUUUGGCAAAGUACCUGGACUGAUCUGAGAGCGGCAGCAAGGAGCCACACAGGAUCCAAACUGCCAUAAAUACAAAGAACAAGAAGCGAGGUUAAUAAUUGAUGAAUGUGAACCAAGACAGAGCCCAGUGUCAUCUUGGUUUACCAGAGGACCCUAAAGGAGCGCUUGUCCAACUCAGAGAAAGAAUGAACCCGCUACACUCCACUCAUCGCAUUCCAUCUCCUGG